Non-coding RNA from Cajanus cajan (pigeon pea), 490 nucleotides. The record is from RefSeq and is a predicted model, not a curated record. NCBI's taxonomy places the organism in Eukaryota, Viridiplantae, Streptophyta, Magnoliopsida, Fabales, Fabaceae.
UUCAGAUGAAUAUUUAUCUAAUAUUUCAAGAUGUGUACAAGUGAAACAACACAAAAUAUUUGGUCUCAAAAGCUAUGAUUGUCAUCUUCUAAUGCAAGAGUUUCUUCCUAUAGCUAUAAAAGAUUGUUUGCCUAACAAAGUUAGUUUUGCUAUAGUUGAUCUUUGUCAUUUCUUCAAAGAACUAUGUAGUAAGGUGCUUAAUGAGUGUAAUUUGGAGCACUUGGAGCAUCGAAUAGCAAAAACAAUGUGUCAAUUAGAGAAAAUUUUUCCCCCAACUUUUUUCACUGUGAUGGUACAUUUAGUAAUCCAUUUGGCAUAUGAGGCAAAAGUUGCAGGUCCAGUUCAUUACCGAUGGAUGUAUCCCAUUGAAAGAUUCCUUUAUACUCUAAAGUCAUUUGUUCGUAAUCGGGCACAUCCAGAAGGUUCUAUUGCAGAGGGAUAUCUAGCUCAUGAAUGUUUGAAUUUUUGUUCACGAUAUCUUUCUGGGGUG